UUUCUCGGCUCUUCUCUCCCUCUUUAAAUUUUAUAAUAAUAAUAGAACCCUACCCCAUUUUAAGUGUCUUAACCCUUGAUCACUGAUACCCUGUCCGACUGACGUAGGGCCCCGUAACGUAUGUCAAGGCUCUGCCUAAAUUCGUUGGGGUUCUGUCUCGUGACGUAGGGAUAAAGUAGAAUUGGGUUACUAUACUUAAUGUGGGUACACUAUAUAUUUUAUUAAAUAAUCCAGGAGUUGUACCCAAAAUAUAACAAACCUCCCGAAUAUUUUUCUGAUACCCUACACUUCCUAAAAUACACCCUGUAUGUGAAAACCGAGCCCGAAAUACAAAAUAGCAUUGAAAAUAAAUACAAAACAAGAAAUAAUAAGUUGAGGCGGGCCGCGUAGGACCUCACCUCAACUUAACGCGGGCCGUGUGAGGGUGUAACUUAACUCCGCUGAAUUCUUUAGUUCACGCGGGCCGCGUAUGAUCCCGUUUAAGUUCAUGCGGGCCGCGCGGACUCAUGAAACGCGGAUAUAUCCAGAGGUUGACACGUGUCAUGAUCGUGGCGGUCUAGUGAACGACUCAGCUAAGCUACCCUGUUGACCAGGGUUGACGCGGGCCGCGUAGGCCCUGCCCUAAUAUUACGCGGGCCGCGAGAGAACCAGAUCCAGCCCCUAUAAAUAGAAGCAAUCGGCUGUUCAUUCAGUUCGUUCAGAAUUUAUUUCUUUCUCUCAAUUCUAAAGUGUAGGCAUUAUACGCGGGUAUAAUACCCCCCUAAUUAGCGAAGCUCUGCCUCGUUGUAAGUAUCAUAACCCCUGGAUACGUAUUAGGUACUCUGCCCGAUUGAUCUAGGGUUCCGUAACGGCUGUCGUGGUUCUGCCCGACGUAGUCGUUGGAAUGCCGUCUCGGGGAGGACUAUAACCAGGGAAUCACAAAGGAAAGCCCUAUAAUAGCAAGGUAACUUAGUGUGAAGCCAAUAAAAGCCAGCUGGAGAGCACUGAAGGCUUGGAAAAGUGGCUAUAAAGUUACCUAAAAUAAAAUAGAUGUUUUUAUUAAUAAAAAUAGGAUUUAUUCCUAUGAAAGUGUGUAUACUGAAAACUUGGGUUUUACCCACGUGUUUAAUAUUAUGAAAAUAUGGUGGUUUUACUCUGAUAAAAAUAUUUCCUAACUACGGUCCUGAAGAAAAAUUCCGCUGUCAAAUUGGACAAUACGCGAUACCACCGAAACUGGCUCACGGCCGCCCGUUCCUGAGGGAUCGGGGGUUGUGACAGAAGGUGGUAUCAGAGCUAUGCCACUGGUUCAAGCCAAAGAAGUGUUCUGCUGACACUUAAGUUUUAAAUUCUGUGUUAGGAAAUUAAUAUAACAAUUUAUGUGUUAUUCUGUGUAGAUAAAUCUUAAUAUUUAUAUUAUGGUUUUUAUGUUUUGGAGUUCAGAGUAUGAGUAACCAAUAUGACUAGACGUACCCAUAGGCCACCUCGGCAGAUGUAUUAUACUACAUUCUUAUACAAUUAGUA
RNAcentral lists this long non-coding RNA (1500 nucleotides) under Helianthus annuus (common sunflower). RNAcentral's name for it is "hypothetical non coding rna". The record is from RNAcentral. Lineage: Eukaryota; Viridiplantae; Streptophyta; Magnoliopsida; Asterales; Asteraceae.